ACACACCCACACCCACUCUUCUUCCCCCAACCGUCUCGGAUCGGAGCAGAGCAGAGGCUCUCCCUUGGCCUUCCUCCCUCUCGGCAGCAGGCUCGACCUUUGCAUGGCAGCAGUGGCUACCUCCAAGGGGCGGGUGAUCGCUGGGAGCCUCGUCGCGCGCGUCCUUGCCGGCAAGGCCGCCAACGCCUCCCCGAGGUAUGCUCACACGCCUCCUGUGAGCUCAAAGAAAGAAUCAGAGUACUAGCAUACGUACUUACGUUGGAAGUAGAUCAGUACCACUACUGCUGCUAGUUCAACAGUGCCUCCGAGAUCUAGUUGCUCCGGAGAUUUGUAAAUGGUUCCUUUUGCUGCUCUCACCUCGGCUGCCGUGGGUACUGGUUCCCCCAUCGGUUCGCCAUCACAAUCAUCAUCUUGGUAUGGAAAUUGAUUAACCCGUGUUCUGUGAAGCGGCGCUGGGGAUAGGUACGUACCGUCGUGCUGCGCUAGAACUUGCAACACAGUUUCCCAACCCAACCCAAAGUUAGAAAGAUUGUGUCUCGAGUUCUCAGUCACGUCCUCCCCGCCUUGGAAACGCUCACAAAACUUCUUUGUAAAGCAGGGCGCAAGUGCCUUUUUCUCUCUCUAAAAAAAGCUUCCGUUUCACAAACUUGUUUGGUCCCUGUAAUAAGAACAGCAAAAAUAUCUUUCAUCUCUCCUGCCCAUAUGCGUCGACGAUCCGUAGCAGCAGCACAUCAUAUGAGUAGGACGGAUGUCAAGAUAAAUCUGCAGAGCAGGAGAGAGCUCCACCACAGAAGAAGGCAGAGAAGGCCAGAUCCAUGGAGAUAUUUCUCUGCGCCUCCCAGUUGCGGCCGGCUCGUCGGAGAUGGCCAAGACAUCACCCGAGCCCCGGCGGCGAAGGGAUAGUGCAAGGAUAUUAUUCACGGCCCGGACGGGUCGGUCGCUCGUUUCUGUUUCUUUCUGGGAGAUUUUAUUGACGGCAGCGAAUGGGUGGACGGGUAGGUGCGGGGUGGUUGUCCGUCCGUCCGUCCGCCAUCUGCCGGCCUGAGCGCUCCCUUGGUUUUCACUCCAAGGAUGGGGCUGGUGCGAGGCGAGAGGUUGGUGGUGGCGCCCACGGUCGGGGUUGCCGUGAGAUCAAGGCGCGGAUGAGACCCUCGGGCCCGCGGUCUGGCCCUGCACGAUCCCACUUCUUCUGGGCUCCGGAUCUGAACCGGCCGGCGGGCGACGUGUCGUCCAUCGGGUCCCGGGGCGGACGUACUGGGUGCACGUACACGCUAGGGUGAGUAGGAUGAUGGCGCCGGUCUUAUCCACAAGACCCACCCACCCACCCACCGUCGUGCUGCCCCACCUUCUCCCGCCGUCUCUUCUUUGCUCACUGACCUAAGGCAGCCAGUGGAGUCCGGCCACAGCGCAAACGGCGUGCUUCGUGCCACCAUCAGUCACCACGCAUGGCCGGGCUCGUUCUAUGGUGCGUACCGAACUGAAAGAAAAAUUGGUUUAUGGGCGCCCACACGGCACGGCACGGCACUCUUUGCGUGAACUCGCCGUCCCGGGCACCAACAACACACUUUGUGCUGCCCACGGGAGCAGAAAAAAAUAAUAAAAAGAUGGAAAAGUGUAGCUUAAUGGCAAGCAAACGGACAGCGCACCGGUCAAGAUCUUAUGUACUCCCUCCGCCCGGUAAUAAGUGUAUUUUUUUCUUUUCUGUCAAUCAAACUAGUUAAACUUUGAUUAACUUUAUUGAAAAAGUGCUAGCAUUUAUGACAUCAGAUUAGUAUCAAUAGAUUUGCCUUUACAUGAGGUUUCCAAAUAUAUCAUUUUCAUGCCAUAUAUGUUGCUACUAUUUACUAUAAAAUUGGUCAAAUUUUUUAAAAAUUGACUAAGUACUAAUCUAUAUGUAUGCUUAUUUGUGGACGGAGGGAGUACAUAGUUAUAAUAACUUCAUUUAGUCAAUAAAAUCUUGGUAACACCCACCCACAUAUAUAGGACUUUUAAUUAACGCUCACUCAUUGGGCUGCCCUAUUGCUAGUCAAUGCAAUGGCUUAUAUAUAAUCAACUGACGCCGUGAUGCGUACGUGCAUUGUUUCAUCAUCGUUCUUUUGCAUCAUGAACGGAGUAUUUUCCUUACCAUCAAGUCAACGUGGUACCGUUGUGUAUGUAGGAUCCAACGACCUCAUUAACGAGCGAUCCGGUUUUGGUGUUUGGGUUUUGCAGGAGGGCGGUGCACGCGUCGGCCUACGACAAGAACGUGGACGAGCAGGUGCGCCCGGCCUUCGUGCCGGACGAUGUGAUCGGCGGCGCCGGGAGCCCAGACAAGUACUGGGGCCCUCACCCGACCACCGGCGUCUUCGGCCCGGCCGCGGUCGACCCCAAGCUGUCCGCCAGCCUCGCGGCGCCGGCCAGCGCCGCGAAUGGUGGCGGCGCCUCCGUGCUGGACCAGAAGGUGUGGUUCCGCCCGCUCGAGGACGUCGAGAAGCCCCCCGUCGCCUGAUCGCCGCCGGCGAC
Molecule: long non-coding RNA, 2502 nt
Filed under: Hordeum vulgare
Lineage: Eukaryota; Viridiplantae; Streptophyta; Magnoliopsida; Poales; Poaceae
Description: long non-coding RNA (HVUL_LNC005554)
Source: RNAcentral